UAUUAUUUUAAUAAAUUGAUAUUAUUAAGAAUAAUUAUGAGUUAGUAGUAAAGUAAAAAUAUUUAUUUAUUUUUUAAUAUUUAUUAUUAUAUUUAAGAUAAAUAGAAAACCUAAGAGCAACUCUCUCAACUUCUACCAUAAUCUCAAAUCUGAUCCCUUCUCUCUCAAAACUCCUUCAAUUUUAUUACUUAGGAGUAUUUCCUAUUUGAAAUUUGGAAUGUAUUCAACCUUGUUGUCCUCAUCAUCUUGAAUUGAAGCACCCUACUUAAAUCCAACCCUCUGUCUCAAAGUUCUCUCGUCCAAAUCCUAAAUCCGUCAGCUUUUUCAUUCCAAGCUACACAAGAGGAAGAAAAAAGCCCCAAAAAAUCCUGAUGUUUGGGUUAAGCCACGAGCUCAACUGACCUAUGAUUUUCACCAAACUCUGCCAGAAGAUAGUUGAGACCAGCCAUUUAACCAAGAGCAAAAUGAGAGAUACGGUUAGAUGCGGUUGGUAGCUCGAGUAGGUAUGGAUAUGCUUACGGCUUGCCUCAACAAACCUUUCGUGAAUUUCAUUCAGAAUUAGAAGGCCUCCGUAGUUCUCCGGAUGAUGAGUCAAGGGGGUCAAUUUUGGCUUCAAAGUAGCAGAUUGCUAAGCUAUCUAGCGAACCUAAGGCUUAGAUGGCUAAACAAAGACAAAGGGAUAUACAAUAUGCAGCAAUGAAGGCCCAAUUCUAUGUAUUACUUGCUUCGGGUGGGGGAUUCCCCCUUGUCCCAGUGAUGCAGUUCGUCCUCCUCGACCUCUCCAGUCUCUAUCUAUUUCACAUAGAGUAUAUGGUCAAUCCAGAGGUGUAACUGAGAAGCCCAACAGUGAUGAAGAUAAUGAGGUGUUGUGUUAGAUAAUCUAAACUAAUGUACUUUAUGGUGGUUUAUUUGAAUUAUUAAGUGUUUUUGAAUGCAUGGAAACUUUAAAGCAGUCUGAAUAAUAGUAUUGAAUAAAUAACUUGCUUCUAUGUUAUUUU
Long non-coding RNA from Capsicum annuum, 998 nucleotides. RefSeq lists it as uncharacterized. Lineage: Eukaryota; Viridiplantae; Streptophyta; Magnoliopsida; Solanales; Solanaceae. The transcript has 3 exons. The record is from RefSeq and is a predicted model, not a curated record.